UACCGGCGGCUCGAGUGGUGGCCGAUAUUAUUGAGUCUAAAGGGUCCGUAGCCGGCUUCGCAAGUCCCUCGGGAAAUCCAGCGGCUUAACCGUUGGGCUAUCGGGGGCUACUACGUUGCUUGGGACUGGGAGAGGCGAGAGGUACUCAGGGGGUAGGAGUGAAAUCCCGUAAUCCUCUGGGGACCACCGGUGGCGAAGGCGUCUCGCCAGAACAGGUCCGACGGUGAGGGACGAAAGCUAGGGGC
This 245-nucleotide ribosomal RNA is filed under the name uncultured archaeon. RNAcentral describes it as "partial 16S ribosomal RNA". It matches the Rfam family "Archaeal small subunit ribosomal RNA", at positions 474 to 718 of the family's 1478-position model. The record is from RNAcentral.